AGGCAAUUAGUUUAAGUAAAACAUUUGAUUUCGGCUCAAAAACUUGGGGUUAAAGGCCACAAUCACCUA
This 69-nucleotide transfer RNA is filed under the name Emmelichthys struhsakeri. RNAcentral describes it as "tRNA-Arg". It matches the Rfam family "tRNA". Rfam says of the family: Transfer RNA (tRNA) molecules are approximately 80 nucleotides in length. Their secondary structure includes four short double-helical elements and three loops (D, anti-codon, and T loops). The record is from RNAcentral. Lineage: Eukaryota; Metazoa; Chordata; Actinopteri; Emmelichthyidae.